This 392-nucleotide ribosomal RNA is filed under the name Pseudomonas sp. SS263-3. It matches the Rfam family "Bacterial small subunit ribosomal RNA", at positions 33 to 427 of the family's 1533-position model. The record is from RNAcentral. Lineage: Bacteria; Pseudomonadati; Pseudomonadota; Gammaproteobacteria; Pseudomonadales; Pseudomonadaceae.
ACGCUGGCGGCAGGCCUAUCACAUGCAAGUCGAGCGGUAGAGAGAAGCUUGCUUCUCUUGAGAGCGGCGGACGGGUGAGUAAUGCCUAGGAAUCUGCCUGGUAGUGGGGGAUAACGUUCGGAAACGGACGCUAAUACCGCAUACGUCCUACGGGAGAAAGCAGGGGACCUUCGGGCCUUGCGCUAUCAGAUGAGCCUAGGUCGGAUUAGCUAGUUGGUGAGGUAAUGGCUCACCAAGGCGACGAUCCGUAACUGGUCUGAGAGGAUGAUCAGUCACACUGGAACUGAGACACGGUCCAGACUCCUACGGGAGGCAGCAGUGGGGAAUAUUGGACAAUGGGCGAAAGCCUGAUCCAGCCAUGCCGCGUGUGUGAAGAAGGUCUUCGGAUUGUA